UACAGAGGUCCCAAGCGUUGUUCGGAUUCACUGGGCGUAAAGGGUGCGUAGGUGGUGAGGUAAGUCGGAUGUGAAAUCUCCGGGCUCAACCCGGAAAUGGCAUUGGAAACUACCUUGCUGGAGGAUUUGAGGGGGGAUUGGAAUACUUGGUGUAGCAGUGAAAUGCGUAGAUAUCAGGUGGAACACCAGUGGCGAAGGCGAAUCCCUGGAAAAUACCUGACACUGAGGCACGAAAGCUAGGGGAGCAAACAGG
RNAcentral lists this ribosomal RNA (253 nucleotides) under uncultured bacterium. RNAcentral's name for it is "partial 16S ribosomal RNA". It matches the Rfam family "Bacterial small subunit ribosomal RNA", at positions 524 to 776 of the family's 1533-position model. The record is from RNAcentral.